UACGUAGGGUGCAAGCGUUGUCCGGAAUUAUUGGGCGUAAAGAGCUCGUAGGCGGCUUGUCACGUCGGGUGUGAAAGCCCGGGGCUUAACCCCGGGUCUGCAUUCGAUACGGGCUAGCUAGAGUGUGGUAGGGGAGAUCGGAAUUCCUGGUGUAGCGGUGGAAUGCGCAGAUAUCAGGAGGAACACCGAUGGCGAAGGCAGGUCUCUGGGCCAUUACUGACACUGAGAAGCGAAAGCAUGGGGAGCGAACAGG
Molecule: ribosomal RNA, 253 nt
Filed under: uncultured bacterium
Lineage: Bacteria
Description: partial 16S ribosomal RNA
Rfam family: Bacterial small subunit ribosomal RNA
Source: RNAcentral